AAUCUUACUUAGCUUUAAAACACAUUUACGUGUAUCACAAAAGACAGAACAAGAAUUUGUGAUUACAAGUUUUCUUUUCUUUUUUUUUUUUUUUUUUUUUUUUUUAGGGAAAGUGAAGAAAGAAUGAAGAACCAUCAUUUCCAAUAGGAAGAAGGCAGUGCCUCUUAACAACCCUGACUGGAACCCCAGUAACACCACAGAUGAAUGGAAAAGGAAAAGUUAUUAAUGUGCAUAUUGGAGGGUCUACAAAGAACUAGGGCCAAACUCCUUUUUUCUUUUUUUUGAAAGAAAGAAAGAGAAAGAGAAAGGGGAGGGAGAACAGGAGUCUUGCUCUAUUGCCCAGGCUGGAAUGCAAUCUAAAAAUAGACAAGAUCUUUCUCUGUUGCCCAUGCUGGAAUGCAGUGGCAUGAUCAUGGCUCACUGCAGCCUUGACCUCCUCAGCUCAAAAGAUCCUCCUGCCUCAGUCUCCCAAAUAGCUGGAACCACAGGUACGUGCCACCAUUCCAGCUUAUUUUAAAAAAUCAUUUUUAGAGAUGGGGUCUUGCUAUGUUGUUCAGGCUGGUCUUGAACCCCUGGGCUCAAGCAUCCCUCCCACUGAAGCCUUCUGAGUCACUGUGAUUACAGGCUUGAGCCAUCACAUCCAGCCAACCCUGGGACACAUAAAUUGCAUUUUUCCCUAAAUAACAAACUCCAAAUAAACUGGAGACUUAUUUUUUCAACCAUCUUUUCAUAUCUCUAUAGAAGAUUGCCUGAGCUCCCUAACUCUCAAUAAUAGAAUGUACUGCAUUUGAUAGUCUCCAAAUCCUUAACAUUUCCUAAGCCAAAGGCAUGAAUGUGUUCAAAGCUUUGUCCUUUCCUUUCUGGGAUAUGUGUGCAAGAGGCUAUGUGUGGAUUUUACAUGAUCAUUCUCAGCUGUUUCUAUUUAUGUCUCCUCCUACAGAUUAUGAGGUUCUCAGGGGCGGGAAUGGAUUUUUCUAAAUCAGGAACUUAAAUGAAGCAUGUGCCCAAUAAAUAUGUAUUGAAUUUAAUUGAAUUUUCGUUUUUAAAAGGUGUCAUCAUUUACAAUCAGCAUUUCUAAAGAAAGCACAUUGAACAUGAGGCUGAGGAGAUUGUGCCGCAUGGUGAGAGCUUGGUUCACUGGCUCCAAGUCUGGACCACAUUGAGCAGCCACGUUUUCUCUUUUUGCCUUGUAGGAAGACUGAGUCUCAAAGCAGGUAGCUCCUCGGUAUAGAGACACACUGUGUAGUGGUGAAGCUGGGCUGGUGGAAAGCUGGAAUGAAAUGAGAACAGCCUUCAGUCCCUGGACUAUUAUAACAGUCUCAAUGUUCUCUGCCUUUCCCCGCCACCUUCACCUUCAAAUCUUUUUUUUUUUUUUGAGAUAGAGUCUCGCUCUGGUAGACCAGGU
RNAcentral lists this long non-coding RNA (1405 nucleotides) under Callithrix jacchus (white-tufted-ear marmoset). RNAcentral describes it as "lncRNA (ENSCJAG00000075534.1)". The record is from RNAcentral. Lineage: Eukaryota; Metazoa; Chordata; Mammalia; Primates; Cebidae.